RNAcentral lists this ribosomal RNA (253 nucleotides) under uncultured bacterium. Its description in RNAcentral is "partial 16S ribosomal RNA". It matches the Rfam family "Bacterial small subunit ribosomal RNA", at positions 524 to 776 of the family's 1533-position model. The record is from RNAcentral.
UACGAACUGCGCGAACGUUAUUCGGAAUCACUGGGCUUACAGGGUGCGUAGGCGGCCUCACAGGUCCGAUGUGAAAUCCCCCAGCUCAACUGGGGAAUGGCAUUGGAAACCGUGGGGCUGGAGUGAGCUAGAGGUGCACGGAACUUCCGGUGGAGCGGUGAAAUGUGUUGAGAUCGGAAGGAACACCAGAGGCGAAGGCGGUGCACUGGGGCUUGUCUGACGCUGAGGCACGAAAGCCAGGGGAGCGAACGGG